UACGUAGGGUGCGAGCGUUGUCCGGAAUUAUUGGGCGUAAAGAGCUCGUAGGCGGUUUGUUGCGUCUAUCGUGAAAACCUGCAGCUUAACUGUGGGCUUGCGGUGGAUACGGGCAGACUUGAGUUCGGUAGGGGAGACUGGAAUUCCACGUGUAGCGGUGAAAUGCGUAGAGAUGUGGAGGAACACCAGUGGCGAAGGCGACUCUGUGGCCUGUAACUGACGCUGAGGCGCGAAAGCGUGGGGAGCAAACAGG
Molecule: ribosomal RNA, 253 nt
Filed under: uncultured bacterium
Lineage: Bacteria
Description: partial 16S ribosomal RNA
Rfam family: Bacterial small subunit ribosomal RNA
Source: RNAcentral